UUAGAGUUUGAUCAUGGCUCAGGAUGAACGCUGGCGGCGUGCUUAACACAUGCAAGUCGAACGAACGGAGGAGAGCUUGCUCUCCAAAGUUAGUGGCGGACGGGUGAGUAACGCGUGGGUAACCUGCCUCAUGCAGGGGGAUAACAUCUGGAAACGGAUGCUAAUACCGCAUAAACUAUGGAUGACCGCAUGGUCAUUAUAGCAAAGAUUUAUCGGCAUGAGAUGGACCCGCGUUGGAUUAGCUAGUUGGUGAGAUAACAGCCCACCAAGGCGACGAUCCAUAGCCGGCCUGAGAGGGUGAACGGCCACAUUGGGACUGAGACACGGCCCAAACUCCUACGGGAGGCAGCAGUGGGGAAUAUUGCACAAUGGGCGAAAGCCUGAUGCAGCAACGCCGCGUGAAGGAUGAAGGUCUUCGGAUUGUAAACUUCUAUCAGCARGGAARAAAAAAUGACGGUACCUGACUAAGAAGCUCCGGCUAACUACGUGCCAGCAGCCGCGGUAAUACGUAGGGAGCAAGCGUUAUCCGGAUUUACUGGGUGUAAAGGGUGCGUAGGCGGCUUGGUAAGUCUAAAGUGAAAUUUCGGGGCUCAACCCCGGAGCUGCUUUGGAAACUGCCGAGCUAGAGUGUGGGAGAGGAAAGCGGAACUUUGAGUGUAGCGGUGAAAUGCGUAGAGAUUCAAAGGAACACCAGUAGCGAAGGCGGCUUUCUGGACCAUAACUGACGCUGAGGCACGAAAGCGUGGGGAGCUAACAGGAUUAGAUACCCUGGUAGUCCACGCCGUAAACGCCUCUCUAGGUGUUGGGGCUUACGGGUCUCAGUGCCGAAGUUAACACAUUAAGCAUCCACCUGGG
Molecule: ribosomal RNA, 855 nt
Filed under: uncultured Cellulosilyticum sp.
Lineage: Bacteria; Bacillati; Bacillota; Clostridia; Lachnospirales; Cellulosilyticaceae
Description: bacterial SSU rRNA
Rfam family: Bacterial small subunit ribosomal RNA
Source: RNAcentral